GAUGAACGCUAGCGCUAGGCUUAACACAUGCGAGUCGAGGGGCAGCAUGGUCUUAGCUUGCUAAGACUGAUGGCGACCGGCGCACGGGUGCGUAACGCGUAUGCAACUUGCCUCACAGAGGGGGAUAACCCGUCGAAAGACGGACUAAUACCGCGUACACUCCAUCUUGGGCAUCCAAGGUAGAGGAAAUGAAAUUCGCUGUGAGAUAGGCAUGCGUCCCAUUAGCUAGUUGGUGAGGUUACGGCUGACCGAGGCGACGAUGGGUAGGGGAACUGAGAGGUUGAGGCCCCAGAGUGGUACUGGGCAACGGGCCAGAGUGAUACGGGAGGCAGUAGUGAGGGAGAUAGCACUAGGGGAGAGAGCCUGAAGCGGCGAAGUCGCGUGCAGGAUGACUGUGUUAUGGAUUGUAAACUUCUUUUAUACGGGAGUUACAGCAGUUACGGGUGACUCCGUGAAUGUACCGUAUAAAUAAGCAUCGGCUAACUCCGUG
RNAcentral lists this ribosomal RNA (490 nucleotides) under uncultured bacterium. RNAcentral describes it as "partial 16S ribosomal RNA". It matches the Rfam family "Bacterial small subunit ribosomal RNA", at positions 28 to 507 of the family's 1533-position model. The record is from RNAcentral.